UGAUACUAAGCCAUGCGAGUCAUUGCAGUAAUGCAAGGCAGACGGCUCAGUAACGCGUAGUCAACCUACCCUAUGGACGGGAAUAACCUCGGGAAACUGAGUAUAAUGCCCGAUAGAACACUAUUCCUGGAAUGGUUUGUGUUCCAAAUGAUUUAUCGCCGUAGGAUGGGACUGCGGCCUAUCAGUUUGCUGGUGAGGUAAUGGCCCACCAAGACUAUUACAGGUACGGGCUCUGAGAGGAGUAGCCCGGAGAUGGGUACUGAGACACGGACCCAGGCCCUAUGGGGCGCAGCAGGCGAGAAAACUUUGCAAUGUGCGAAAGCACGACAAGGUUAAUCCGAGUGGUUUGUGCUAAACGAACCUUUUGACAGUCCUAGAAACACUGUUGAAUAAGGGGUGGGCAAGUUCUGGUGUCAGCCGCCGCGGUAAAACCAGCACCUCAAGUGGUCAGGAUGAUUAUUGGGCCUAAAGCAUCCGUAGCCGGCUCUGUAAGUUUUCGGUUAAAUCUGUACGCUCAACGUACAGGCUGCCGGGAAUACUGCAGAGCUAGGGAGUGGGAGAGGUAGACGGUACUCGGUAGGAAGGGGUAAAAUCCUUUGAUCUAUUGAUGACCACCUGUGGCGAAGGCGGUCUACCAGAACACGUCCGACGGUGAGGGAUGAAAGCUGGGGGAGCAAACCGGAUUAGAUACCCGGGUAGUCCCAGCUGUAAACUAUGCAAACUCAGUGAUGCAUUGGCUUGUGGCCAAUGCAGUGCUGCAGGGAAGCCGUUAAGUUUGCCGCCUGGGAAGUACGUACGCAAGUAUGAAACUUAAAGGAAUUGGCGGGGGAGCACCACAAGGGGUGAAGCCUGCGGUUCAAUUGG
RNAcentral lists this ribosomal RNA (864 nucleotides) under uncultured archaeon. Its description in RNAcentral is "bacterial SSU rRNA". It matches the Rfam family "Archaeal small subunit ribosomal RNA", at positions 39 to 909 of the family's 1478-position model. The record is from RNAcentral.